GGGGGGGGGCAAGCGUUGUUCGGAAUUACUGGGCGUAAAGGGCGCGUAGGCGGACGAGACAGUCUUUCGUGAAUCCCACGGGCUCAACCGUGGAACUGCGGCAGAUACUACUCGUCUUGAGUUCGGGAGAGGAGUGUGGAAUUCCCAGUGUAGCGGUGAAAUGCGUAGAUAUUGGGAGGAACACCGGUGGCGAAGGCGGCACUCUGGACCGAUACUGACGCUGAGGCGCGAAAGCUGGGGGAGCAAACGGGAUUAGAUACCCCGGUAGUCCUAGCUGUAAACGAUGAGCACUUGGUGUAGCGGGUACUCGACCCCUGCUGUGCCGGAGUUAACGCAUUAAGUGCUCCGCCUGGGGAGUACGGUCGCAAAGGCUG
This 374-nucleotide ribosomal RNA is filed under the name uncultured organism. RNAcentral's name for it is "partial 16S ribosomal RNA". It matches the Rfam family "Bacterial small subunit ribosomal RNA", at positions 526 to 896 of the family's 1533-position model. The record is from RNAcentral.